Molecule: long non-coding RNA, 1473 nt
Organism: Bombyx mandarina (wild silkworm)
Lineage: Eukaryota; Metazoa; Arthropoda; Insecta; Lepidoptera; Bombycidae
Source: RefSeq, a predicted model, not a curated record
CUUUCACUGGCACUCCAACUUAGCUGAGAUCAAUAUCCUGACACUGGACGGCCGCAACUUAUUUUCAACAGGGAACACUUAAGUACGGACUAUGAUUUGAAACAUAUCAGGUGAAAGAAUUUCAGAUAAUGUUGGAUAUUCCACGACUUUCGGACUUCUAAGUUCAGAAAGGUAGGAAAAAAUUAUUCACUGGACAGACUGUCGACACCAGAGGAAACAGUAAAUUAUUUUGUACUUCAAGAUAGAAAACAUGAGUUUCGUUGUAUUAUUUAAUCCGAAAAUUUGAUGAAGCUCCCGUUGGUUUACUGUCAUAACAAAAUAAGUUCUCAUCCAACAAAUGAAUGUAUGGAACUCAAUUAGUGUCGACGUUGACCAGAGAAUAUUGACGGAAUACUUGAAUCAUAAAUGAUUAACAGACAUUCAACCUUGACGGCAAGAUGUUCACAGUGAAUGUUGUUUUGUCGUUCCUUCCUAAGACACUAGCACGAAAACGCAAAAAAGGUGGGGAAUACUUAAUUUUAUAGUUAUUUAAAAUUGUGUAUGUUAAUCAAUUAAUUAAUCCAGUAUUAAAGAAUAAGACCGAUUUUUAACUGUAUAUUAGCCUUAUAAAAGAUGACGAAUUCAGAUCCUUCCGGACUUGUGAAAUAUCGCUCUGUGAAUGAGAAAUGUUAGUUUGUGUAUGUACUUUUUUGUUUAUUUCUUUCUAUUUACCAACCAUUUGGUUCCUAAUAAUCUUAAUGAAUAAAUAAACAAAAUAUGUUUCAAAUUAACAUAAUAUUAUAAUCGUUAACCGCACUGUUAAUCUAUUGUGUGAUUUACAUAUCUCUUUUAGAUUAAGUUCCUUUAUUUAGGGGUGUAAGUGGCUCUACCACGACCUUCUGAGCCAAAGCCAACCUCUCCUGCCCGCGGCGCACCCUGCCAAUCAACGAACGAGGCUCUGGCGGAGACGUGGUCGCAAAAGAACCAAAAACACAGCCCUCAGGUUCGAUCGACCGCAACCUUACCAGUACGCGAUGACGUCUCUUUGUUAAUGUUACAUUCGAUUCACGUAUACUUUAAAUAAUUCAUUCGGCUAUUUAACUUUCAUUAAUUCUCAACGUGUCAGCCUGUUUUUAAUGAUUCUUACUAUGUAACCACGAUUUACUAAAUUUAUUUUCACAUGUAAUAAAUAUUGGUCUAUGGUUGAGCUAUUGUAGUUUGACGACUUGUAACUUAAUGUUAGAUUGUAGGUUUUAAGUGUAUGAAUAUUUAAUCUCUCAAUGUCAUAGCUGUGCUUUUUAAUGUAAUCUAAUAUAUGGCUAUUAGAAUAAUUAUGAAACAGACACACGCACACACACACAAUCGAAUAUUAGAAAAACGUAUUUAACGACAUUAGUAUUAAUUAAAUUCUCUAACUUAAUAUUUCAUUAAAUACAUUAUUAUCGCUCAUGAGUGUAUCUUAAUCUUUAUAUUAAAUUGAUGUGUAGUAGAAAA